Molecule: ribosomal RNA, 445 nt
Filed under: uncultured bacterium
Lineage: Bacteria
Description: partial 16S ribosomal RNA
Rfam family: Bacterial small subunit ribosomal RNA
Source: RNAcentral
GUGAGGAAUAUUGGUCAAUGGGCGGGAGCCUGAACCAGCCAAGUCGCGUGAAGGAAGAAGGAUCUAUGGUUCGUAAACUUCUUUUGCAGGGGAAUAAAGUGCAGGACGUGUCCUGUUUUGUAUGUACCCUGAGAAUAAGGAUCGGCUAACUCCGUGCCAGCAGCCGCGGUAAUACGGAGGAUCCGAGCGUUAUCCGGAUUUAUUGGGUUUAAAGGGUGCGUAGGUGGUUUGAUAAGUCAGCGGUGAAAGUUUGCAGCUUAACUGUAAAAAUGCCGUUGAAACUGUCGGACUUGAGUAUAAAUGAGGUAGGCGGAAUGCGUGGUGUAGCGGUGAAAUGCAUAGAUAUCACGCAGAACUCCGAUUGCGAAGGCAGCUUACUAAGCUACAACUGACACUGAAGCACGAAAGCGUGGGGAUCAAACAGGAUUAGAUACCCCGGUAGUCC